ACGCCGGGUCGUGACUGGCGCGCUGGGAUGGGACGGACCAUCGGGGAGCGGCCCGGGAAAGAUGAGUGCCGUGCGCCUGGGCCGUACCG
Regulatory RNA element from Streptomyces ipomoeae 91-03, 89 nucleotides. It matches the Rfam family "ZMP/ZTP riboswitch aptamer (pfl RNA motif)". From Rfam's summary of the family: Previously known as pfl RNA. ZMP is also known as AICAR. The record is from Rfam. Lineage: Bacteria; Bacillati; Actinomycetota; Actinomycetes; Kitasatosporales; Streptomycetaceae.